Rosa chinensis is the source of this 249-nucleotide long non-coding RNA. RefSeq lists it as uncharacterized. The record is from RefSeq and is a predicted model, not a curated record. The transcript is spliced from 3 exons. Lineage: Eukaryota; Viridiplantae; Streptophyta; Magnoliopsida; Rosales; Rosaceae.
UUUUCUCAAAUUCAGCAAGAGUUGGAGGCUUAGAUGGAGUAUUGAUACCUUGGGCAAGAAGAUUAAACACGGAAACUUGUGGAGAUUGCAAGGGUAAGAGAGAAAGGGAGCUCAAAAAGCUGCUGGAAAAUUUUAAUAGCAAACGAAGAUGGAAGAUAGGUCUUGGAUGCAUGCAGAUAAAAGAUCUUUAGCUUAUGAGUUAGGGGUGGGAAGUUUCUUGAAGUUUGCUUUAGAAAAUGUGAAAAAUCC